GAUGAACGCUAGCGGCAGGCCUAAUACAUGCAAGCUGAACGGCAAGAUUUGUAGCAAUACGAGUCCUAGAGUAGCGUAAGGGUGCGUAACACGUAUGCAAUCUGCCCGCAACAGGAGGAUAGCUUAGCGAAAGUUGAGAUAAGACUCCAUAAGAUCACGAGAGGGCAUCUGAUUGUGAUUAAACUACAAGGGGUUGCGGAUGAGCAUGCGUCUGAUUAGUUAGUUGGCGGGGUAACGGCCCACCAAGACGAUGAUCAGUAGGGGAACGUGAGAGGUU
Molecule: ribosomal RNA, 277 nt
Filed under: uncultured bacterium
Lineage: Bacteria
Description: partial 16S ribosomal RNA
Rfam family: Bacterial small subunit ribosomal RNA
Source: RNAcentral